Molecule: long non-coding RNA, 206 nt
Filed under: Fukomys damarensis (Damara mole-rat)
Lineage: Eukaryota; Metazoa; Chordata; Mammalia; Rodentia; Bathyergidae
Description: lncRNA (ENSFDAG00000023005.1)
Source: RNAcentral
CACGGAGCUGCAUGAGACUUGUCCACCGGGUGGGGAAGACUUUGGGGCCAAGACGACAUCUUUGGUCUGGAGAGCUGAGAGAGCCCAGGCUACGGUGGCCCAGAAGAGACAUGUAGUCCUCAAUGCAGCUCCUGUGGAAGGAAGAGGAGCUGUUGGAGGAAACCACACUUGCAGCUACAGUGUGACUUUCCUGCAGUAUGGGGGAC